This 833-nucleotide ribosomal RNA is filed under the name Flavobacterium sp. B167. Its description in RNAcentral is "bacterial SSU rRNA". It matches the Rfam family "Bacterial small subunit ribosomal RNA", at positions 56 to 896 of the family's 1533-position model. The record is from RNAcentral. Lineage: Bacteria; Pseudomonadati; Bacteroidota; Flavobacteriia; Flavobacteriales; Flavobacteriaceae.
UGCAAGUCGAGGGGUAUAUGUCUUCGGAUGUAGAGACCGGCGCACGGGUGCGUAACGCGUAUGCAAUCUGCCUUUCACAGAGGGAUAGCCCAGAGAAAUUUGGAUUAAUACCUCAUAGCAUUAUAGGAUGGCAUCAUUUUAUAAUUAAAGUCACAACGGUGAAAGAUGAGCAUGCGUCCCAUUAGCUAGUUGGUAAGGUAACGGCUUACCAAGGCUACGAUGGGUAGGGGUCCUGAGAGGGAGAUCCCCCACACUGGUACUGAGACACGGACCAGACUCCUACGGGAGGCAGCAGUGAGGAAUAUUGGUCAAUGGGCGCAAGCCUGAACCAGCCAUGCCGCGUGCAGGAUGACGGUCCUAUGGAUUGUAAACUGCUUUUGCACAGGAAGAAACACUUGCUCGUGAGCAAGCUUGACGGUACUGUGAGAAUAAGGAUCGGCUAACUCCGUGCCAGCAGCCGCGGUAAUACGGAGGAUCCAAGCGUUAUCCGGAAUCAUUGGGUUUAAAGGGUCCGUAGGCGGUCUUGUAAGUCAGUGGUGAAAGCCCAUCGCUCAACGGUGGAACGGCCAUUGAUACUGCAGGACUUGAAUUAUUGGGAAGUAACUAGAAUAUGUAGUGUAGCGGUGAAAUGCUUAGAGAUUACAUGGAAUACCAAUUGCGAAGGCAGGUUACUACCAAUUGAUUGACGCUGAUGGACGAAAGCGUGGGUAGCGAACAGGAUUAGAUACCCUGGUAGUCCACGCCGUAAACGAUGGAUACUAGCUGUUGGGCGCAAGUUCAGUGGCUAAGCGAAAGUGAUAAGUAUCCCACCUGGGGGAGUACGUUCGCAGAUG